RNAcentral lists this transfer RNA (77 nucleotides) under Ruminococcus sp. RNAcentral describes it as "tRNA-Pro". It matches the Rfam family "tRNA". From Rfam's summary of the family: Transfer RNA (tRNA) molecules are approximately 80 nucleotides in length. Their secondary structure includes four short double-helical elements and three loops (D, anti-codon, and T loops). The record is from RNAcentral. Lineage: Bacteria; Bacillati; Bacillota; Clostridia; Eubacteriales; Oscillospiraceae. RNAcentral also lists the same sequence under 2 other names.
CGAGGCGUGGCUCAGUUUGGUAGAGCGCCGCGUUCGGGACGCGGAGGCCGUGGGUUCAAGUCCCGUCGCCUCGACCA